GAUUAACGCUGGCGGCGUGCAUAACACAUGCAAGUCGAACGAUGAAACUUUAAUGACCCCUUCGGGGAGAAUUAAAGCGGAUUAGUGGCGAACGGGUGAGUAACGCGUGAGUAACCUGCCUUACACAAGGGGAUAGCCUUUGGAAACGAAGAAUAAUACCCUAUAAAACCAUAAAAGCACAUGCAAUUAUGGUCAAAGUGAUAGCGGUGUAAGAUGGACUUGCGUCUGAUUAGCUAGUUGGUGAGAUAAAAGCCCACCAAGGCAACGAUCAGUAGCCGGCUUGAGAGAGUGUACGGCCACAUUGGGACUGAGACACGGCCCAGACUCCUAUGGGAGGCAGCAGUGGGGAAUUUUGCACAAUGGGGGAAACCCUGAUGCAGCGACGCCGCGUGAUUUAGAAGGCCUUCGGGUUGUAAAAAUCUUUUGUAUAGGAAGAAAAUGACAGUACUAUACGAAUAAGGUCCGGCUAAUUACGUG
Molecule: ribosomal RNA, 477 nt
Filed under: uncultured bacterium
Lineage: Bacteria
Description: partial 16S ribosomal RNA
Rfam family: Bacterial small subunit ribosomal RNA
Source: RNAcentral